GACGUAGGGCGCGAGCGUUGUCCGGAUUUAUUGGGCGUAAAGAGCUCGUAGGCGGUUUGUCGCGUCGUCUGUGAAAACCCACGGCUCAACUGUGGGCUUGCAGUCGAUACGGGCAGGCUAGAGUUCGGUAGGGGAGACUGGAAUUCCUGGUGUAGCGGUGAAAUGCGCAGAUAUCGUAAGGAAGACCAGUGGCGAAGGCGGGUCUCUGGACAGUUCCUGACGCUGAGGCACGAAGGCCAGGGGAGCAAACGGG
RNAcentral lists this ribosomal RNA (253 nucleotides) under uncultured bacterium. RNAcentral describes it as "partial 16S ribosomal RNA". It matches the Rfam family "Bacterial small subunit ribosomal RNA", at positions 524 to 776 of the family's 1533-position model. The record is from RNAcentral.